CUGUACCUAGAACAUAGAUACAGAGCCACUUGUCAUCAGGAAGCUGCUCUCUCAGCACAACGGAAAAUAUCUCAAUGACUUGACAUGUUCUGGUUGUGAAUUCAGGCUACAAGUUGAAAAUCGUCUUUCAGAAUAUCGGAAAAUGUGUUGUUUUCUAAACUACAAUGAGCUCCUGCUUCCUGUGUAAUUUGGGGACAGUGCUCUAAAAUGAGCAUCUCGGGAGAGAGAAAGGAGGCGGUCCCUGCCUCUAAAAUGAGUCUCUCUGGGGAACAUGACACCAAAGCUAAGAGGUGAGAUGACAAUUUUUGUUGUUUAAGUUCUUUGUUUCUAAAACGUUAUAUCCACAAUUUUUUCACAUUAGUUAUUUGCAACUGAAAUGAUUGUUAUGGGUACCUUCAGGUCUGUAAAAUAUUGUUGUUCUAUAGAAUUUAUAGAAUUUUAGCAUGACACAAUCAUUUAGCCUACUCUUAAAACUUCUAUGGGCUAUGUGGGACGCUAGCGUCCCACCCGCGGUACACACUAUCAACAGCCAGUGAAAUAUCAGAGCGACAAAUUUGAAAACAACAAAAUGUCAUAAUUCAAAUUUCUAAAACAUACAACUAUUUUACACCAUUUGAAAGAUAAACAUCUCCUUAAUCUAACCACGUUGUCCGAUUUCAAAAAGGCUUUACGGCGAAAGCAUAAAGUUAGAUUAUGUUAGGACAGUACAUAGACAAAACAUUACAC
This is a non-coding RNA of Salmo salar (Atlantic salmon), 726 nucleotides long. NCBI's taxonomy places the organism in Eukaryota, Metazoa, Chordata, Actinopteri, Salmoniformes, Salmonidae. The record is from RefSeq and is a predicted model, not a curated record.